This 1197-nucleotide long non-coding RNA is filed under the name Olea europaea subsp. europaea. The record is from RNAcentral. Lineage: Eukaryota; Viridiplantae; Streptophyta; Magnoliopsida; Lamiales; Oleaceae.
CUUGAUUGCACUCCAGUACAAGUCACGAAGAACAAAUGUCAAUGAUAUUGAGGUGUGUAGAUAUUUCGACAAGUCCAGUGAAGGUUGAAGAAUUCUUUUUAGGGUUUUUAUUAGUUGAUGAUACAUCAUGUAAGGGGCUUUUUGAGGAAUUGGUGGAUGCUUUGAAUAAUCUAGAACUUGAUAUUGAUAAUGUCAGGGGUCAAGGCUAUGAUAAUGGUGCUAACAUGAAAGGACAACAUAAAGGAGUUCAAAGUAGACUAUUACAACUAAAUCCUAGAGCAUUCUACAUUCCUUAUGGAUGUCAUAGUCUUAAUCUUGCACUUUUUGAUAUGUCCACUUGUUGUUCAAAAGCUAAAUCUUUCUUUGGGGUGGUGCAACGUAUAUAUACUCUAUUUUCUUCAUCUACUAAACGAUGGAAAGUUUUCAAAGAGAAUGUAACUAGUCUUACCAUUAAGCCUUUGUCACAAACUCGUUGGGAAAGCCAUAUUGAAAGUGUUAGAGCGAUAAGAUUUCAAGCUCUGCAGAUAAAAAAAGCGUUACUUCAAUUAGCAAAUGUUGAUGAUCCUAAGACAAAAAGUGAGGCGGAGUGUUUGGCAACAUAUGAAAUUGACAAUUUUGAAUUCUUACUUGGAAUGAUUAUUUGGUAUGAAGUGUUGAAUAAUGUUAACAGAGUAAGCAAACAAUUGCAAGCAGAAGACAUGCAUAUUGAUGUUGUUAUAGACCAUUUAAAAGGCCUCAAUUCAUUUUUCAAAAGUUAUAGAGAAUCUGGUUUUGAAUCGGCCAUGGUUGAUGCUAAAGAGAUUGCAAGUGAAUUAGAAAUUGAACCGAUAUUUCGUGAAAAACGGGUUAUACAUAGAAAAAAAACAGUUUGAUGAGAUUUCUUUUGAAGAAAUAACACAAACAGCUGAAGAAUCUUUUAAGAUCAAUUAUUUCAUAUAUAUAGUGGAUCAAGCUCUAUCAUCACUUCAGAAUAAAUUUGAGCAAUUUUAGAAAUAUGAUGAUAUUUUUGGAUUUUUGUUUGAUUUGAAAAGACUUAAGUCUAUUGAUGAUGAUGUUUUGAAGUGUUCUUGCAUUAAACUUGAAAAUUACUUGAAGCAUAAUACGAUUUCUGAUAUUGAUGGAAUAGAAUUAUUUUUUGAGUUGAAAGUUUUAAGGGAAGCGAUAUCUGCAAACAUUUUUGGAGCAAUUGAUGUAUUG